GUCGCUACUACCGAUUGAAUGGCUUAGUGAGGCCUUCGGAUUGGGCCCGAAGAGCGGGCAACCGCAUUUUGGGCUUGAGAAGUCGGUCAAACUUGGUCAUUUAGAGGAAGUAAAAGUCGUAACAAGGUUUCC
This 132-nucleotide ribosomal RNA is filed under the name uncultured Dioszegia. Its description in RNAcentral is "partial small subunit ribosomal RNA". It matches the Rfam family "Eukaryotic small subunit ribosomal RNA", at positions 1675 to 1804 of the family's 1831-position model. The record is from RNAcentral. Lineage: Eukaryota; Fungi; Basidiomycota; Tremellomycetes; Tremellales; Bulleribasidiaceae.